RNAcentral lists this ribosomal RNA (477 nucleotides) under uncultured bacterium. RNAcentral describes it as "partial 16S ribosomal RNA". It matches the Rfam family "Bacterial small subunit ribosomal RNA", at positions 30 to 507 of the family's 1533-position model. The record is from RNAcentral.
AUUGAACGCUGGCGGCAUGCCUUACACAUGCAAGUCGAACGGUAACAGGUUAAGCUGACGAGUGGCGAACGGGUGAGUAAUACAUCGGAACGUGCCCAGUAGUGGGGGAUAGCCCGGCGAAAGCCGGAUUAAUACCGCAUACGACCUAAGGGUGAAAGGGGGGGAUCGCAAGACCUCUCGCUAUUGGAGCGGCCGAUGUCAGAUUAGCUAGUUGGUGGGGUAAAAGCUCACCAAGGCGACGAUCUGUAGCUGGUCUGAGAGGACGACCAGCCACACUGGGACUGAGACACGGCCCAGACUCCUACGGGAGGCAGCAGUGGGGAAUUUUGGACAAUGGGCGAAAGCCUGAUCCAGCCAUGCCGCGUGCGGGAAGAAGGCCCUCGGGUUGUAAACCGCUUUUGUCAGGGAAGAAAUCCUUUGGGUUAAUACCUCGGGGGGAUGACGGUACCUGAAGAAUAAGCACCGGCUAACUACGUG